UGUGUGGUCUGGUGUGACCACAUGUCAUCACACAGAAGGUCCCAGGUGUGUAAAGACGUGAGCAUCGUGGCAGCGUAUGCCAAUGGCAGUAAAGAUGGCACCUAUCUUUUACAGACCUUCAAGGGGCAGGCCAACCAGUCGUGUGAAAGGAUUUGAUUAGAAAGAUCGAUUUCUUCCCAGGCGUCGGUCGUGGGUGGUUAACUCUGGUCGGCACUCACCCUCCCCGUGUGACUCGUGCUCCCACCGCCUCUGCGGACCCCGCCUGCCAGCCGCGCACCCUAACGAGCUCUCUACCCGUUCCACGCACCCAGCUUUUCUGGAGUCCUCCUGUAAACGCGGUCUGGUGGUAUGUCCUCUGCUGUGUUGGCGUGUGCCCCUGGCCUGACAUCCGCUGGGUCCCUCCGUGUUACCGCGGCGGCCAGAUCUCCUUGAAGGCUGAAUACGACUUCGCUUCACCCACAGGUUGCAGUGUCACUGCCCCUUCACCUGCUGUUCCCGCAGCUGGGCUGUUGGGGGAAUGCCGCUGAGCAGCGGUGUGCAGGUAUCUUGUCAAGGGGCUGAUUUCACCGCCGUGUGUACCCGGAGGACAGCUUGCCGCUCCCAUCGAGUAUCUCGUCCUAGCUGAGGUGCCCCAGCCCGUCCUGGCAGAGAGGAUGCCGGUCCCGCAGACGCAAGGGGCCUCCGCCCGCGCCCUCAGGCCUCACCAGCGCCUGCUGCCGCUCACUCUCAUCUUUUCAAUGGGUGCUGACAGAAACUGCCUGAACCUAAGCUCCACAGACUGCAGAAGGGAACGCCCAGAACCAGCUGCAGCCAGGGCUUCCUCCUCCGCGGCCUCAUCCACACACUCCUCAGCCAGAGUUCACUGCAGACUCCCGCGUCCCUCUUGCUGCAGGACUAGCAGGUGUGGACGGCAAGGGCUCUGCUCUGUUCAGGGUGGCUCAGCUGGGGUGCCCUCGGAAGCCUCCAGACAGCAGUGCCCGCAGUCAGAUCUGCAUCUUUUGGAAAAAUGGUAGCACUGAAGGGAGGAGAUCUACUUAGAAAGAUGGGAUACAGUGUGUGAAAACAAAAUAAAGUAACAAACAAAAUAAAACAACCACUUUUAAUUGAAACAAAACAAAAAAAAUCAAAUACUGUAAUUGAAAAACUUCUGCACAAAAGAGAAAGUGAACCAUAACUGGAGAUGAAGAGUAGCAACAUCUUUGCGGUCAACUGAACAAAGUCUGGACAUCUGAAUCUAGUAAGGAAAGCAGAACCGGCGUGAAGAAGGGAGAGCAGACGCGAUCCCUGCAGUUCAGAUUACUGCCUGUGCUUUGGCUUGUAAAGGAAAUUGUACCUGAAUAUUUAGCUGUUCCACAUUUAUCUGUUUAAGUAUUUUUGGUUUUGUGUGGCUAUUUUAAUAACAAGGAAGAUGUAAAAAAUACAUUAAAUGUGAUUGUUUCUGAGAUGAGAAUAACUGGCUUCCUCUUGGUGAUGAUUUUGGCAGCAAGGGAAAUACAGGGAUGACGGCUAGACAACUGGGAGCGUACUUGAUCAGAAAGAGAUCGUGGUUGGACCUCUUACUUUCCCAUUGGUUACCAUUUUAUAAAAAUGAGAACAGUUAGAGAUUUUGCAAAAGCAUCACACAUCCCCCUCUGCCUUGGAGGUCAGACAGGAACGGCAGCUCUUACUCACCACAGAUAAUUUCUGAAGUGGGGAGGAGAGGACGAGGAAUCCGGGAACAAUCUUCACUUGAACAUAUCGAAAGACAGCAUAACUAUGCUGCUUUAAAAGCCGUGUGAAAAGCUUUUACAAGAAUUUUACAUUUUUUACAAGAAUUUUAAUUUUUGUUGAUUUCUGUAUUCUAAAUUUUCUAUAGCAUGACUAGAUUAUGAUAGGGACACAAAACAAUAAAAAGUAAAAUCAAUUUAAAAGAGAAAGGACGUAAAUUUGAUGGGGCAGGAAUACUAUCUGAAAGCAGGAAAAAUAAAAAUUAUCAGUAUUAUUUAUUUAUUGGCAUUAUUAUUGAAGUAUUAUCACUUGUUGAAGGUAUUAUUCCUCAUUAAAGACUUAAAGGAUAAUGGUUUUAUUCUUGUGGAACAAA
RNAcentral lists this long non-coding RNA (2080 nucleotides) under Chinchilla lanigera (long-tailed chinchilla). RNAcentral's name for it is "lncRNA (ENSCLAG00000028024.1)". The record is from RNAcentral. Lineage: Eukaryota; Metazoa; Chordata; Mammalia; Rodentia; Chinchillidae.